UACGUAGGGGGCUAGCGUUGUCCGGAAUCAUUGGGCGUAAAGCGCGUGUAGGCGGUUCGGUAAGUCCGCUGUGAAAGCCGGGGGCUCAACCCUCGAACGCCGGUGGAUACUGUCGGGCUUGAGUACGGAAGAGGCGAGUGGAAUUCCUGGUGUAGCGGUGAAAUGCGCAGAUAUCAGGAGGAACACCAAUUGCGAAGGCAGCUCGCUGGGACGUUACUGACGCUGAGACGCGAAAGCGUGGGGAGCAAACAGG
RNAcentral lists this ribosomal RNA (253 nucleotides) under uncultured bacterium. RNAcentral's name for it is "partial 16S ribosomal RNA". It matches the Rfam family "Bacterial small subunit ribosomal RNA", at positions 524 to 776 of the family's 1533-position model. The record is from RNAcentral.